This is a long non-coding RNA of Macaca fascicularis (crab-eating macaque), 1651 nucleotides long. The record is from Ensembl. Lineage: Eukaryota; Metazoa; Chordata; Mammalia; Primates; Cercopithecidae.
UAGGAUGACAAAUGACUUGUCAAAUGUUGUAAUAAACAGAGCUGGGAUUUCAAUUCUGAACAUCAUUUUACUUAUCUAUAAUAGGACACCUUAAAUUAACAUAACCCUAGGCAUCCUGGAAUUUUUUUUUUUUUUUUUUUUUUGAGACAGGGUUGCACUCUUGUCAGCCAGGCUGGAGUGCAGUGGCUCCAUCUCAGCUCACUGCAACCUCCGCCUCUGGGGUUCAAGUGAUUUCCCUGCCUCAGCUUCCCGAGUAGCUGGGAUUAUAGGCACCUGCCACCACACCCAGCUAAUUUUUUGUAUUUUUAGUAGAGAUGGGGUUUCACCAUGUUGGGCAGGCUAGUCUCAAACUCCUGACCUCAGGUGAUCUUCCAGUCUUGGCCUCCCAAAGUGCUGGUAUUACAGGUGUGAGCCACCGCACACAGUCAGCAUCCUGCAAUUUUUAAAGAACUACAUGAAACUGAGAGUGAGACAUUUAGUCCUGUUACGAAAAUGGAAUCUUCAAUAAUUUAAUGCUAAUGGAGAAGGAAAGGAGAAAAUGGUGCCAUUAAAGCAUAGUUUAAGCAAGUAGUAGGAAAAAGUGACUUUAACACAUCUAACUUUUAGGACUGUUAGUAGGGUGUAUGAUUGAAAGCAUGACAUUCAAUGAAGAAAAGGCUAAACACAAAAUGAUGCUACAUGUUGUUUAAUGCCCAUAUGGUGAGAAAAUAAAGAAUUGCAUGGAAAUAAUAGACAUGCAGUUCGGGAUAUUGAUUACAUCUGAGGGAAAGGGAUGGUGACUCAAUCUGAAAGGGGUAACUAGUGUAUUCUAUUAUAAUGAUAUUUUUUAAGCUGGCAAUAUUAUUCUUUAAACCUGUGUGUAUCUUAAAUAUUGCCCAGUAACUUUUCACAAGGUUAUGCAAGAGCAAUCUUCAGUUAAGGAGGUGGUUAUAGACUCAUGCAUAACUAUGCUCCAUACACAACCUGUCCCAUCUCACCACCUAAAUACUGGUUUAAGAGACAUAGACAUGAUAUUAAUGUUGUUUAGCUUAUCAAAAUCUAGUGUCUUACAUCAUGAGGCUGAUUAUCAGACUUGCUACUGGUGACCUCUCUUUUCUCUCCCACUCCAGUUUCUUCACAAGAUACAUCUUGCCUGACUUCUGCUUGGGUCCUGGCACUGUUAGGCCCGUACACUUAUUCUUAUACAAACUCAAAUCAGUAGACUAUCACACUUACCUACUUGUUGGCUUUCCUUUCUCAGUGUUGGGGAAAACCCAUUUUUCUGGGUUCAAACCUCUUCUGGUAUAAACUACAUAAAUUCUAACAACUUCUGAGUUUUUAGCAAGCAAUUCAUACAAUACAUUCUUCCUGGUAAUUUCAAUACAUGUAGAUCUAAGGAAAUUGAGUACUUACAGUUCUGAAUACAAAAAAACAAUAGGAACAUACUAUUUUAAUAAAAGUAAGAAUUUUUUAAUUGACCUGGGGUACUAAUAGGUGCAUGGUUUUAUUUUCACUGAACUCUUCUCAGUCUUCUGAUUCAUAAAGUUGUACUGAUAAGUUCUGAGAGUGUCUGUUGUGUCCCAAGGAUAUCUAAGCCCUUUCGUGUAAUUAUUUCUCCCUGUUCCCAUCAUCCAGCUCCUGUUCUUUUUGAGCCAUCAGAAAAAAAAAAAAA